CAGUAGCCGCGGUAAUACGAAGGGUGCAAGCGUUAAUCGGAAUUACUGGGCGUAAAGCGUGCGUAGGCGGUUUGUUAAGUCUGCUGUGAAAUCCCCGGGCUCAACCUGGGAAUGGCAGUGGAUACUGGCAAGCUAGAGUGUGUCAGAGGAUGGUGGAAUUCCCGGUGUAGCGGUGAAAUGCGUAGAGAUCGGGAGGAACAUCAGUGGCGAAGGCGGCCAUCUGGGACAACACUGACGCUGAGGCACGAAAGCGUGGGGAGCAAACAGGAUUAGAUACCCCGGUAGUCCCUGUCUCUUAUAC
RNAcentral lists this ribosomal RNA (301 nucleotides) under uncultured bacterium. Its description in RNAcentral is "partial 16S ribosomal RNA". It matches the Rfam family "Bacterial small subunit ribosomal RNA", at positions 509 to 807 of the family's 1533-position model. The record is from RNAcentral.